CACAGAACAGAGAGUCCACAUCAACACAGUGGUAACCAGCAGACGAGCUUCAACCACUCUGUGAGAGACUUGGCCACCCAGAGACUAACUGCUGCUGCUGAGGAAAUAUUCACCCUGUUUCAACCAACUGUGGUUCAGUACGAGGAGGAGAUUGGUCGUCAACGCAGAAUGCUGGAAAUCAACAGGAAUCCUCACAUGAAGUUACACAGAACAGAGCUCCAACAGGACCUUGACUGCGGAGAGGAGCAGCUCUUUAAACAGGAAACUAACUACUGUCUAGAACAGGA
Long non-coding RNA from Salarias fasciatus (jewelled blenny), 287 nucleotides. RefSeq lists it as uncharacterized. Lineage: Eukaryota; Metazoa; Chordata; Actinopteri; Blenniiformes; Blenniidae. The transcript has 4 exons. The record is from RefSeq and is a predicted model, not a curated record.